CGGGGUGUAGCUCAGUCUGGUAGAGCAUUAGCUUUGGGAGCUAAGGGUCGCGAGUUCGAAUCCCGCCGCCCCGACCA
RNAcentral lists this transfer RNA (77 nucleotides) under Pseudomonadota bacterium. RNAcentral describes it as "Proteobacteria bacterium (activated sludge metagenome) tRNA-Pro". It matches the Rfam family "tRNA". From Rfam's summary of the family: Transfer RNA (tRNA) molecules are approximately 80 nucleotides in length. Their secondary structure includes four short double-helical elements and three loops (D, anti-codon, and T loops). Lineage: Bacteria; Pseudomonadati; Pseudomonadota. RNAcentral also lists the same sequence under 2 other names. The record is from RNAcentral.